UUAUUAGAUUAUAUUAAGACUACGUUUGUUACUUUAAUGUUUGUAUAAAUGGGCAGGCGCUCUAAUCAUUUCGUUUUCAAGACAGCCUUACAGUUCACAGGUGUUAUGGAUAUGAUUUGAUGCUAGGGACUCCGAAGAGUUCCGCUAACAUAUUUAAUUCACUAAUGAUCCUUCCGCAGGUUCACCUACGGAAA
Molecule: unclassified non-coding RNA, 194 nt
Filed under: uncultured fungus
Lineage: Eukaryota; Fungi
Description: sequence contains ITS1
Source: RNAcentral